Molecule: long non-coding RNA, 575 nt
Organism: Cyprinus carpio (common carp)
Lineage: Eukaryota; Metazoa; Chordata; Actinopteri; Cypriniformes; Cyprinidae
Exons: 3
Source: RefSeq, a predicted model, not a curated record
AAUGUUGUUCCCCAGGUUUUAUGAAUCUUAGUUAAGAAAGUUUUUUUUUUUAAAUGUUUUUUGACACUCAUGGUUAAUUAAUAUAUUUAUUUUUUGUCAUUUAAGGUUGCCGGAAAUGCAGUAGGCAAAAAGUUUUCAAAUACGACUCCAUAACAGGAAGAAGGAUAAAUGAGGGGCAAGCAGAAGUAAGGGUGAAAUGGUUACCUUGCUCUGCAUGUGGAAAAAUCUGGGAGGAGACAUGGGAGCCGGCCUGCCAGUUCUCACCAGGUGUCAAGCAUGUGUGACGUCACCCAUUCAUCUACAAUUCAGUAUGAGUUGAAUACCUGCUAUGAGUUGUCGAGUUCGGCUGUUACGGCACAGCCAUCCUGUUUGCGCAUGUGAUGAUUUUAGAUAAGAAGGAGGAGCCACGUUACACACUUUCAAUGGUUUCCACCCUAACAUGCUGUCAUGCUGUUUUUUUCUUUAUUACUGAUUCUUGCUAAAAGCUGUGUUCAAAUAAAUCAAAGUGUUACUAUAUUUCUGUUUAUGUCUUUCCAUUCACCUUGUGGGUUAGCCAAUUAACUGAAAUAUUCUUC